UAAAGUGCGAUAUGUAGUGCGAUUUGCAUGAAUCUGUGAGUCAUCUAAUCUUUGAACGCAACUUGCGCCUCUCUGAGGCAUGUUUGUUUGAGUGCCGCAUACUCUCUGCAGCAAUGCGACUUGACCGUGUCCCCGGACUCGGUCUAAACAAAGCCAGAAAGUGGCCUGUGUAGACUAGCCCAAGUGCUAAGCAUUCUUGGAACUAUUCUACCGCAGGUUGCCCCCACACUUUUAUCUUUGGCCUCAAAUCAAGCAAGACUACCCGCUGAACUUAA
RNAcentral lists this unclassified non-coding RNA (275 nucleotides) under uncultured fungus. Its description in RNAcentral is "sequence contains ITS1". The stretch from base 1 to 97 matches the Rfam family "5.8S ribosomal RNA", at positions 49 to 154 of the family's 154-position model. The record is from RNAcentral. Lineage: Eukaryota; Fungi.